AGACAGGCAUUGAAGAGGGAAAGUAGAUGAAUGGCGGCAUCCCAGAGAGGAAGCAGACGGUGAGAGCUUCCAUGUGCGCGUUGUUGAACCGGCCUCGGAGCUUUGUGCGAGAGAUGUGGAAAACGGCAGUGAAAACAGAUUGCCGCAGUGAAUGACUACAUUGCUAAGUACAGCGUAGAUCCGGCGUUAACGGAUAUCAGAGGAGAGUUCCCGUAAAGUGCGGGAGCUAAUUUGGGUGGUAACGCCGGCUGUCGGUCCCUUUU
Molecule: non-coding RNA, 263 nt
Filed under: Clostridiales sp. EM6
Lineage: Bacteria; Bacillati; Bacillota; Clostridia; Eubacteriales
Description: Clostridiales sp. T-box sequence
Rfam family: T-box leader
About the family: Uncharged tRNA acts as the effector for transcription antitermination of genes in the T-box leader family.
Source: RNAcentral